Molecule: long non-coding RNA, 311 nt
Filed under: Mytilus galloprovincialis (Mediterranean mussel)
Lineage: Eukaryota; Metazoa; Mollusca; Bivalvia; Mytilida; Mytilidae
Source: RNAcentral
UGGAAUAUCUAUAUUUAGGUACACAGACGCUGUAUUUUUGUCGCGGUGAAUAUAAUGUUUUAUGAACGAGAAUUUCCUAUGCUGAUAGCCAAUGAGAAAAAAACCCCAAUAUUCAGUCAUAUAAUAAUAUCCUUUGUCUUAAAAAUGAACCAUAUUUCGUUGAGAAAUAAAUCUAAAAGAGUAAUGUAAUAUCCUUUUGUUAACGGAUGUUUGUCUUAUUGACAGAGUUAGUUGUAUUAUCUCACUGACAAUUCAUAAUUUGAAUAUAUAGCUUGACAUUUUCGACAAAUCCUCCUAUUUUGUAAUAAUUG